CUCGGCGGGCGGCCCCUCCCUGGGGCCGCUGCCUCCCUCGGGGGGUGCCCGCCGGCGUACCAAAACUCUUUUGUAUUUUAGUGGCCUCUCUGAGAAAACAAGCAAAUAAGUUAAAACUUUCAACAACGGAUCUCUUGGUUCUGGCAUCGAUGAAGAACGCAGCGAAAUGCGAUAAGUAAUGUGAAUUGCAGAAUUCAGUGAAUCAUCGAAUCUUUGAACGCACAUUGCGCCCGCCAGUACUCUGGCGGGCAUGCCUGUUCGAGCGUCAUUUCAACCCUCAAGCCCUGCUUGGUGUUGGGGUCCUACGGCUGCCGUAGGCCCUGAAAGCUAGUGGCGGGCUCGCUAUAACUCCGAGCGUAGUAGUAAAAUAUCUCGCUAGGGAGGUGUCGCGGGUUCCGGCCGUGAAAGCCCCGGCGAGUGAAGCGGCAACAGCUCAAAUUUGAAAUCUGGCUUCGGCCCGAGUUGUAAUUUGUAGAGGAUGCUUUUGGUGAGGUGCCUUCUGAGUUCCCUGGAACGGGACGCCAGAGAGGGUGAGAGCCCCGUAUAGUUGGACACCGAGCCUCUGUAAAGCUCCUUCGACGAGUCGAGUAGUUUGGGAAUGCUGCUCAAAAUGGGAGGUAUAUCUCUUCUAAAGCUAAAUACUGGCCAGAGACCGAUAGCGCACAAGUAGAGUGAUCGAAAGAUGAAAAGCACUUUGAAAAGAGGGUUAAAUAGUACGUGAAAUUGUUGAAAGGGAAGCGCUUGUGACCAGACUUGUGCCCGGCUGAUCAUCCAGUGUUCUCACUGGUGCACUCUGCCGGGCUCAGGCCAGCGUCGGUUCUCGCAGGGGGACAAAAGCUUCGGGAACGUAGCUCCUCCGGGAGUGUUAUAGCCCGUUGCUCAAUACCCCUGCGGGGACCGAGGUUCGCGCUCUGCAAGGACGCUGGCAUAAUGGUCAUCAGCGGCCCGUCUUGAAACACGGACCAAGGAGUCGAGGUUUUGCGCGAGUGUUUGGGUGUAAAACCCGCACGCGUAAUGAAAGUGAACGUANGUGAGAGCUUCGGCGCAUCAUCGACCGAUCCUGAUGUAUUCGGAUGGAUUUGAGUAAGAGCGUA
This 1094-nucleotide small RNA is filed under the name Sordariomycetidae sp. 8 MU-2012. RNAcentral's name for it is "eukaryotic LSU rRNA". The stretch from base 317 to 1094 matches the Rfam family "Eukaryotic large subunit ribosomal RNA", at positions 1 to 804 of the family's 3401-position model. Lineage: Eukaryota; Fungi; Ascomycota; Sordariomycetes. The record is from RNAcentral.